GAGGAGCUGGCUGAAGGAAAAGGCCACGCUCAUGUGCCUGGCCAACAAGGGCUUCCCCUCAGACUGGAGUCUGGCCUGGAAGGUGGACGGCAGCAGCAGCAGCAGCAGCUGGGAGGAGAGCAGGAGCCCCGGGGUGCUGGGGAAGGACGGCAAAUACAGCUGGAGCAGCACCCUGAGGCUCCCUAAAGACCAGUGGGAGAAGGUGGGCUCUGUGACCUGUGAGGCCACCCAGGGCUCCCAGACUCCGCUCUCAGAGACACUGAGGAGAGACCAGUGUUCCCAGUCCUGACCUGACUCACUGGGACUCUGCUACUGGUUUCACUCUGAUACUGAUCUCAGUCUGCUCUCUGCUACUCUCUCUCUCUCUCUCUCUCUCUCUCUCUCUCUCUCUCUCUCUCUCUCUCUCUACAGAUUCAUCACAAUUUGAAAGUUCAUCUUGUGUUGCUUGCAGUAAUGCUGAUAUUCUCUGUAUGUUAAAACAAUAAAGACAAAUGUAUCAACUUAA
This is a non-coding RNA of Perca fluviatilis (European perch), 505 nucleotides long. The record is from the annotation of a RefSeq genome assembly. NCBI's taxonomy places the organism in Eukaryota, Metazoa, Chordata, Actinopteri, Perciformes, Percidae.